RNAcentral lists this ribosomal RNA (311 nucleotides) under Cyphonococcus alpinus. RNAcentral describes it as "partial 28S large subunit ribosomal RNA". Lineage: Eukaryota; Metazoa; Arthropoda; Insecta; Hemiptera; Pseudococcidae. The record is from RNAcentral.
AAACCGUUCGGGGGGAAACGGACAGAGCUCGUGAAUCCGGGUGACGGAAUUCAGAAUCGACGACGUUCACGCGUCGUAGGCUCGAUAUUUCCGUCACCGUCUACAUUCGGACGUCGCGACCCGUUUGGUGUCGGUUUGAGGAGACGUGUGAAAGUUCGUUAACGCGUCGGGGACUUCGGUUCUCGGUGCGUCGACGAGUACGCGUUCUAUUUUGCUAGCCGACUCGCCAGACGGUACGUAAUGGUGAUCGCAGCGACUUUAGCGUCGCUGCUCGACGCCUGUCUGCGACGAAUCUUCGAGUCUCUUUCCGA